This 372-nucleotide ribosomal RNA is filed under the name uncultured Latescibacterota bacterium. RNAcentral's name for it is "bacterial SSU rRNA". It matches the Rfam family "Bacterial small subunit ribosomal RNA", at positions 1010 to 1382 of the family's 1533-position model. The record is from RNAcentral. Lineage: Bacteria; Pseudomonadati; Candidatus Latescibacterota.
GAAAUUCCCUUUCGGGGCUUUCUGCAAGGUGCUGCAUGGUUGUCGUCAGCUCGUGCCGUGAGGUGUCGGGUUAAGUCCCAUAACGAGCGCAACCCUUAUCCCUAGUUGCCAUCAGGUAAAGCUGGGAACUCUGGGGAGACUGCCGGUGAUAAACCGGAGGAAGCGGGGAUGACGUCAAGUCCUCAUGGCCCUUACAUCCCGGGCUACACACGUGCUACAAUGGCAGGUACAGAGGGCUGCGAAGCCGCGAGGUGGAGCGAAUCCCAGAAAACCUGUCUCAGUCCGGAUUGAAGUCUGCAACUCGACUUCAUGAAGGCGGAAUCGCUAGUAACCGCGAAUCAGCAGGUCGCGGUGAAUACGUUCCCGGGCCUU